RNAcentral lists this ribosomal RNA (512 nucleotides) under uncultured bacterium. RNAcentral describes it as "bacterial SSU rRNA". It matches the Rfam family "Bacterial small subunit ribosomal RNA", at positions 26 to 518 of the family's 1533-position model. The record is from RNAcentral.
AGAACGAACGCUGGCAGCGUGGAUUAGGCAUGCAAGUCGAACGGGAUCGGGAAGGUAGCAAUAUCGGCCCGUGAGAGUGGCGGAAGGGCGAGGAACACGUGGCAACCUGCCUUGAGGUGGGGAAAACCGUUGGAAACGACGGCUAAUACCGAAUGUGGCGCCGGGAGGCAUCUUCCGCGCGCUAAAGGGGGCCGCAAGGCUCCCCCUCUUCGAGGGGCUCGCGCACCAUCAGCUUGUUGGCGGGGUAACGGCCCACCAAGGCUCACGGUUAGCUGGUCUGAGAGGAUGGCCAGCCGCACUGGGACUGAGAUACUGCCCAGACUCCUACGGGAGGCUGCAGUCGAGGAUCAUUCGCAAUGGGGGAAACCCUGACGAUGCGACGCUGCGUGGAAGGAUGAAGGCCCUCGGGUCGUAAACUCCUGUCAUGAGGGAAAAGGCGAGGGGACCCAACACGUCCCUUAGUUGAUGGUACCUCAAGAGGAACGGGCGGCUAACUCUGUGCCAGCAGCCGC